RNAcentral lists this ribosomal RNA (337 nucleotides) under Pezizomycotina sp. 38253-R2. RNAcentral describes it as "eukaryotic LSU rRNA". The stretch from base 1 to 127 matches the Rfam family "5.8S ribosomal RNA", at positions 28 to 154 of the family's 154-position model. The record is from RNAcentral. Lineage: Eukaryota; Fungi; Ascomycota.
UUGCAUCGAUGAAGAACGCAGCGAAAUGCGAUAAGUAAUGUGAAUUGCAGAAUUCAGUGAAUCAUCGAAUCUUUGAACGCACAUUGCGCCCCCUGGUAUUCCGGGGGGCAUGCCUGUUCGAGCGUCAUUACAACCCUCAAGCUCUGCUUGGUAUUGGGCCCCGCCGGUUCCGGCGGGCCCUAAAGUCAGUGGCGGUGCCAUCCGGCUCCGAGCGUAGUAAUUCUUCUCGCUCUGGAGACCCGGCUGUGUGCUUGCCAGCAACCCCCAAUUUUUUAAGGUUGACCUCGGAUCAGGUAGGGAUACCCGCUGAACUUAAGCAUAUCAAUAAGCGGAGGAA